Zonotrichia leucophrys gambelii is the source of this 3785-nucleotide long non-coding RNA. RefSeq lists it as uncharacterized. The record is from RefSeq and is a predicted model, not a curated record. NCBI's taxonomy places the organism in Eukaryota, Metazoa, Chordata, Aves, Passeriformes, Passerellidae. The transcript has 5 exons.
CGGCCCGUGCCCGCAGCCCGCCGCUGGCUCCCCCCGCCGCUCUCUGCGGGGCGACGCGUCCGCCCCGCCCGCGCCGCCGCCGCCCGCCUCCCGCCGGCCGCGGGGGCGGGAGCGCUCCCGCAUCCCCCGGCGAGCGGAGCGGAGCGGAGCAGCCCCGCGCUUCCUCCCACCGCCGGAACUGCGGCUACGGAGCGCGGGGGGCGGCCGGAGCCGAGCGGCGGCGCACCGGGACACAGCGAACGUGCAGGGCCACGGCGGGCGCGCCGGGCGGCUCUGUACCGGGGCACAGCGAAUGUACGGGGCUACAGUGAAUAUUCCGGGACACAGCGAAUGAAAAAAAAAUUGCACAUUUGAAGGUGGGAGAACCAAAAAUCAUUUUUCAUGCAAGUUUCUUUUUCCCAGAAUGCACAUGCUGAAAUGAUUGUUAAGCACAGCUUCCAGUGGUUUUGAUUGCUUCAGUUCAUGCCUGCCUUGCCUAGGAUGUGAAGUUCCCCAGAGCAAGAGGCUGACCCCGUAUUUGUGAAACAUAUACAGAAAUAACAAUUUCAGAGUCUGGAGGCUCUUUUGUCUCUGAUGCCAAGCUGUUUGAGCUGCAUUUCUGAGGGUGAAGGUGCUGGUGCCCACACAGCCUGCCCUGCCAACAUGGAAAGGCAGCCUCAUCCCUCGCCUCCUUGUGCAGCAUCCUCACCAUUCAUCAGCUGCUUGACCAGGAGCAGCACAUUCCCCGCUUCCAGUGGUAACACACCUUGAAUGAUGGCAGAGAGUUAUCACACAGGUGCUGAUGAUGAGGGCUUAGCAAACACUUCAGCUGGUACAAAGCUAGCACCAGAAUUUAGGCCUCUUUUCAGGCACUCUCUUGUCCCUGAAGGGCAGGCCUAGCAUGACUGGAGUCACUGAAACCCCAUCCCUGGUACUGACAUCAGCAGGAAUGACUAAUUGCAUCUAGGAAAUUACUCUUGGAAUAUUGUGCUGACCUUUUUUAUAUAAGUAUUUUUCAGAGAAGUGGAGCAAUAUGAUCUUUAAUAUAUCUUAAUGUCUUACUAAAUACACUAGUCAGGCACAUCUCCUAUCCCAACAUAGCAACCAGCAGUCUUAGCCCCACAUUCUUGUCUGACCAUGUUACAGCUGGCAGAAGAAAGGGCGAUGUCACUGCUUUUGAUGGUUUCCAACUUUAAGCAGGAAGCAAUUUGGCCUGAUACUUGAAGAUUAUAAAUCAGUAAUACAAGUCAUAGUCCAAACACUAAGCAGACACGAGAUCCCUUCUCAAAAGCUGCAUCUAGUGUUAUUAAAACAGCUUGGGCUCAAGCAGCCCUUUGCAGCUGGUGCUGCUUUUCACUGGAGUGAGUAGAAACCACUCCAGCACAGGCAAAAUGCACUCCUACCAGUCAGGUUAGCUAUUACCAAGCUACUGCUUGUCUGCUAAGAUUUCCUAGACAGCAGAAAAAGAAGUGAAUGGGACUGUACUUGGCAAGGGAUGGGAGGGUGCAACUUCCAUCUGGGAUGCAGAUUCUUGACUCUGAAGCAGCUCUGAUAAUCCCAGCUGUAAUUUUCCAAGGAGGAAACAUAAGCCAGGCCAUUUGUUACAGAGAAGUGUGAUUUCUCUAGAAGGGCAGUUCAGUUUCCUCAGUUUUUUUUCAAUCCCAGCCAGCAUUGCCAAGCUUUGACUUCAUUUCCAGAGCUGAUGCUUUCCAAGCCAGGAGUUGUCUGAGUUGAAUGGCCCCAUUUGAAAUUAUUAAUUUUACCUGUAUCAGCCUGUGUAACUGCUUUUAUGAGACAAAGGGCACUAUGAAAAAUGCGGAGAACAAACAGACCUAGUAUGUGAGCAGGAUGCCUGUCACUGUGUAAUUAUGUAUAACUGUACAGUUACAUAAAUGCUUUUCUUGGGAAUCACCAGUGACGGCAGCAAGCUUUGCCUGUCAUGUUUUGGCUAGUUAAAGCACUGAUUCAUCACACUUUGAAUACUCAGUUUCCUGCUUGUUCUAUGGUAAAUGGAUUACUGCCUGCAAUUUCAAUAGUAAUUAAUGAAGAUGAGAGAUAGAUCCAGUGAUAAAACUGGGUUGUCUGAAGAAGUGGAAUGAUUUACUCCACUUGUCAAGUCUCACAGUGUUACUAGAAUAUCACUAGCUUGUUUGCAGACUGAUUCAUCCUCUUCUUGAAAGAUGCAUUUUUAUCAGUUGGAGUAACAAAUCUAUGCAUACAAAGCAUGACUUGACUCUUUUGUUCCUCCUCCACGUGAAGUAUCCCCCUCCUUCCCUUUAUGCCACUCACCUUGGGCUGAUUUUUGCAGUUGCAUAUUUCUUCUUGAGCUUCUACAAGAUCUAUCAUUAAGAAACUGUCCUGGUUUAGGGCAAAUUUGGGUGAGAAUCUCCAAAGUGGGGGGGCCCUCCAGAAAGCAAACCCACACAGCCUCUCCUAUAACUGGUUUGGGAAGAAUUCCUUGGAGAGAAGUGCAAAGAACCUGUUUAUUUAACAGGCACAGCACCCCACAGGACACAAAAUGAACAAGACCAGGUGACACCACUCUUUCAGCACUCUGAAAAAGAUGACAAAAUGAGAAAGUCUCUCUCAGGGGUGGUUGCUCUGUUCUCAGUCCCUCCGGUGCUGGGGCAGCUGCUGCAGCCACAGGGUGCAAACCCUCGGUGUUCCCAGGUCCCAGUCUGGAGCAGGUUCGAGAUGGUCCCAAAAAAGGAAAGGAGAAACAGUCCAGGAAGAAAUUUGGACUGUUUAGCUAAACUAGCUAAUAAGCAGAAGCUAGAGCAAGAGCAAAGCGAAAAGCAAAAGUAAAAAAGCAAAAAAGCAAAAGCAGCACUAUGUACUGCCCGUCUCUGUGUCUCGCCAGCCAUGGGGGAGCGGCUGAUAAGAAACCAAAACAAAACUUUCACUCUUCAGAGCCAGUCUUGAAGGCACAGAACAUGAUAUCCAGCAUAAACAGAACACAUGAAUGGGGAUACAAACAUCACAAUGUCACCCUAGGACAGAAACUCAUGGAGAAAUUAAUUUAUGUACAGUUCAGAUCAGCAAAGAGUCAACAUGUUGGUGUACAGUGCUAGGGAAAGUGCCAAAUGUUUGUAUGGUUCUUGUGAUGGGAGAAUCUGAUGAAACCAGGCUUUAGUUGGCCUUAGCUGGCUGCACUGUUUUUUUCCUGUGUACAUCAUGUUAAUUUGUUAAAUAUUCUUCCUAACUUUACAUAAAUCUGACUUGACAGGAGAAGAGUUGGUCCUGCCCUAGGAAUUGCAAGAAGAAUGAUGUUUGUUGACAAAGGUAGAUGAUAUCUUCCCCUUCAGUGAGUCAGGAUGUCAGCAGCAACGACUUGGACAGGAAUUGACAGGAAAUUUACACUUAGUCCUUGAACUCUGUGGUUUUGGCAGAGAUUUGACUGAAUGAAACACAAAGUGACAGAGGGAGAAACCUGGAUUCCCUCCCAGAGGGAGAGUUUACUUGAAUUGCUCAGUCACGGACUAGCUUGUUUCAUUCACAGAAAAAAUUCUGGAUCUUAAGAGAGACUACUGUAGUAUCCAUCCCAUUGACAUCAGGGACCCUGAGAAGCAGCUGUCAUGUCACCAUUCUCUGCAAUAUCCUUUGGAGGGUGUAAUUAAUUGUUGUAAACCUCCAGUGUGACUCCACUGAAUUUAAUCAGCCCCACAAAUAUCACUGAAACUUCUCUGGUGUAUUUUUGUAAAGAGGAUUUACCUAUAAAACAAACCCGGUGUUCAUUCAAAAUGUCAGGUAAUUUUAUCCUGAAACAAUUUAUUUUAUGCUUGAGUUUAAAUUUUCAUUAGUUCAAA